This 406-nucleotide ribosomal RNA is filed under the name uncultured bacterium. RNAcentral's name for it is "bacterial SSU rRNA". It matches the Rfam family "Bacterial small subunit ribosomal RNA", at positions 91 to 507 of the family's 1533-position model. The record is from RNAcentral.
UAGAGUGGCGGACUGGUGAGUAACACGUGGGUGACAUACCCUCUGGUUGGGGAUAGCCGGUAGAAAUACCGGAUAAUACCGAAUACGAACGCACAGGUUAGAGUGGUGCGAGGAAAGGAGCUACGGCUUCGCCGGAGGAUUGGCCCGCGGCCCAUUAGCUAGUUGGAGUGGUAAAGGCACACCAAGGCAAUGAUGGGUAUCCGGACUGAGGGGUUGGAUCGGCCACAUUGGGACUGAGAUACGGCCCAGACUCCUACGGGAGGCAGCAGUGGGGAAUAUUGGGCAAUGGACGCAAGUCCGACCCAGCAACGCCGCGUGAAGGAAGAAGGCUUUCGGGUUGUAAACUUCUUUUAAGUGGGAAGAGUAGAAGACGGUACCACUUGAAUAAGCCACGGCUAACUACGUG